AUGAAGCCUCUGUGUGCUGCAGCAAGCAGGUUGUCCAAUCUGAGCUCUGAGAACAGAAAGCUAAUUCAACAGCUGAAUGAACUGAAGGCUAUCCUAGCGAAAGCCAAGGACUUCCGUGAACUGCUCUGCUUACCAUCUGGUUAUAAUGCAGAUAGCCACAUCAUAUCGUCAGCUAUUGUUCCUGAGACCACAUCACUGCCGCCUCUGAAAGUGAUUGGUCGUGACAAGGAUCGGGAUCAUAUAAUAGAUCUUCUUACCAAGACAACAGCUACUACUGAGUCUAAUACAGCUAUGUACUCGGGUUUGGCCAUUGUUGGAGCUGGAGGCAUGGGAAAGUCCACCUUGGCACAACUUGUUUACAGUGACAAGAGGGUCAAAGAAUAUUUUGAUGUGACAAUGUGGGUAAGCAUCUCACGCAAACUUGAUGUCCGUCGUCAUACACGAGAGAUCAUCGAGUCUGCCUCUCAAGGGGAAUGCCCACACAUUGAUAACCUUGAUACUCUGCAGCGCAAGUUGACAGACAUACUGCAAGAAGCAGGGAAAUUCCUACUUGUGUUGGAUGAUGUUUGGUUUGAACCUGACAGUGAGGGUGAAUGGGACCAACUGUUAGCUCCUCUAAUUUCCCAACAUAUGGGAAGCAAAGUUUUGGUAACUUCUCGACGGGAUACAUUUCCUGCUGCUCUUUGUUGUGAAGUGUGUCCUCUGGAAAACAUGGAAGAUGCUCAGUUCUUGGCACUCUUCAAACACCAUGCAUUCUCUGGACCACAAAUCAGAAAUACGCAGCUGCGUGAAAAACUCGAAGAUUUUGCAGAGAAGAGUGCUAAAAGACUUGGACAAUCUCCUUUGGCAGCAAAAGUUGUGGGUUCCCAGUUGAAACAAAAAACACAUAUCAAUGCAUGGAAGGAUGCUCUAACUAUAAAGAUUGACAAAUUAGGUGAGCCCAUGAGAGCUCUGUUGUGGAGUUAUAAGAAGUUAGAUCCAUGUUUGCAGAGGUGCUUCUUAUAUUGCAGCUUGUUUCCAAAAGGCCACAAGUAUGUCAUUCAUGAUUUGGUUUAUCUUUGGAUGGGUGAGGGUCUUGUUGAUUCGUGUGACCAAAACAAGAGAGUGGAAGAUAUUGGGAGGGAUUGCUUCAAUGAGAUGAUCUCCGUUUCGCUUUUUCAACCAGUUUCUGGGAAAGACACUCCAAAAUACGUUGGCCCGUGUUAUGUUAUGCAUGAUCUCCUGCAUGAGCUGGCAGAAUCACUCUCCAAAGAAGAUUACUUCAGAUUGGAAGAUGAUAAGGUGACAGAAAUACCAUCCACUGUCAGAUUCCUAUCUGUUCGUGUUGGUAGUAUGCAAAAACACAAGCAAAGUAUCUGCCAGCUACAUCAUUUACGCACUAUUAUCUGCAUAGACCCCCUAAUGGAUGAUUUAAGUGAUCUUUUCAAUCAGAUACUACAAAAUUUGAAGAAGCUGCCGGUGCUAUCUUUGUCAUUUUACAACAGUAGUAAGUUGCCAGAAUCUAUUGGUGAGUUGAAGCACCUUCGGUAUUUGAACAUCAUCAGAACACUAAUUUCUGAAUUGCCAAGAUCAUUGUGUACUCUUUACCACUUGCAAUUACUUCUGUUAAAUGUCAAAGUUGAUAGUUUCCCUGAGAAACUCUGCAAUCUAAGGAAGUUACGACAUGUUAUACAACUUGGAAAUAGAAUAGACAUAUCAAACAAAGAAUCACGGCCGCAAAUUCGUAACAUUGGCAAGCUAACUUCGCUUCAACAAAUUAAGGUAUUUUCUGUGCAGAAGGAAAAGGGAUAUGAGUUGCAACAGCUCAGGGAGAUGAAUGAGAUUCGUGGCAGUUUAUGUGUUACAAAUCUUGAGAAUGUCACUGGGAAGGAUCAAGCCUUAGAAGCAAAGCUACAUCAGAAAAGUCAUCUUAGUAGGUUGAAACUUCUCUGGAGUUGCGAGAAUAGCACAAAUGCGGAGGAUAAUUUACAUUUGGAGAUUUUAGAAGGCCUAAUGCCACCGCCUCAACUUAAGCACCUUAAAAUCUGCGGCUACAAAUAUCCAAAAUAUCCAUGCUGGUUAAUUGAUGUAUUACAGAUGGAGCUUUAG
Molecule: ribosomal RNA, 2088 nt
Filed under: Triticum aestivum (bread wheat)
Lineage: Eukaryota; Viridiplantae; Streptophyta; Magnoliopsida; Poales; Poaceae
Description: partial small subunit ribosomal RNA
Source: RNAcentral